This 4971-nucleotide long non-coding RNA is filed under the name Sus scrofa (pig). RNAcentral's name for it is "lncRNA (ENSSSCG00000052942.1, ENSSSCG00110039670.1, ENSSSCG00160022854.1)". Lineage: Eukaryota; Metazoa; Chordata; Mammalia; Artiodactyla; Suidae. The record is from RNAcentral.
GGUUUAUUACAGGAUAUUGAAAGUAGUUCCCUGUGCUAUAUGGCAGGACGUUGCUGUCUAUCUAAAACAUUUUUUGAUGUGUGACUUCUAAAGUCUGAGAAUGCUGUGAGACAGGGAAGGGCUCGGGGGAGGGGGGGCUUUUGCAGGAGAAACAUAAAAAUGAAAUAUUAACAUGAUCAGGCGCUAGCUUCAAGGCGUUCUCUAGAAAAUAAAUGCUGCCACAUUUCAUUUCUUUAAGCCCUUUGUCUAACAUAGUUCGUAUCUCUGUCCUCAUUAUUUAAUUAUAGGCCUAAGGAGUCACUGGAGACGGGGGGCAUCUAGUCUCAUGAUUGAUUUUAUUUAUUGGUUGUGGUCAGGUUGGAGACCUCUGGGAAGUAGGCAGUUUCCCAAAAUAGUGGAUUUUAGAUGUUACUUAGUCGCUUAUUCAGAGAACCAGUUAUUUAACCAGAUUUCUGUGGCUAACUGACAGGUGUAGCACACUGAAUGUCAUUAUCCCUUAUGCAGAGCUCAUCACAAAAUUAUCUGGGCACUCGUGGAAAAGUCUCCCAAGUUAGAAUCAGGGUAGGAAGUGCGCUUUGACUAGCCAGCUGGACUUGGCAUUGUGAGAAUUAAGAAUCUUAAUUUUUUAAAAAUGAUUUUUAUUUUUUUCUAUUAUAGCUGGUUUACAGUGUUCUGUCAAUUUUCUACUGUACAGCAAGGUCACACAGUCACACAUACAUGUAUAUUCUUUUUUCUCAUAUUAUCAUGCUCCAUCAUUAAGUGACUAGAUAUAGUUUCCAGUGCUAUACAGCAGGAUCUCAUUGCUUAUCCCUUCCAAAGGCAAAAGUUUGCAUCUAUUAAUCCCAGAUUCCCAGUCCAUCCCACUCCCUCCCCCUUGGCAACCGCAAGUCUAUUUUCCAUGUCCAUGCAUUUCUUUUCUGUGGAAAGGUUCAUUUGUGCCAUAUAUUAGAUUCUAGAUAUAAGUGAUAUCAUAUGGUAUUUGUCUUUCUCUUUCUGACUUACUUCGCUUAGGAUGAGAGUCUCUAGUUCCAUCCAUGUCGCUGCAAAUGGCAUUAUUUUGUUCUUGUUUAUGGCUGAGUAGUAGAAUCUUAAUUUUAAAGAGUGAAGAGGUUUUAUGAGGUUCUCCCAAAGAGCCACACAUUUGAAAAACUGAGAAGUUUUCCCAAGCGGAUGACCCACUCAGUCUCCCCUUGCACUGAACCGGCCCCUACAGCCCCUCACGUAAGUCCCUGCCAGGGAGGAAGGCCAGCUGCUUAUGAGAACCACGCUGAUUUCUGAGAGCUGAGAUGGGCGAGCGGGAGCCAGUCUCAGACUUCCUAAGAACCCUGGCAGGUGGUGUACGUGGGUGAGGCAUGCCUGGGGCCAGGGUGGUGAUGGGGGAGGCAUGGACCCUUUUGGAAGGGGGUCAUUGGACCCUCUCUAGGGUGUUUUUGUCAAGAAACCAUGCAAGCUCAGUGAUGCAGGCUGUUGAGGUGUCUCUCAGUGCUUAAAUGUCAGCAGCUAAUUCACUAUCCUGGAGAGUAUGGUAGAAACCUCACAAAAAUGCUUGUAGCAUGGAUUUGGCCACAUCUGCUGGCUUGUCACCUUGCUGCGGGAGCAGGCAUUUACAUCGAGGGCAAAUUCAGUGCCCUGUUUUCAUGACAUGUAUUUGGCAUCCACUUCUUAUCUAUUCUGAAGUGAAAUUCACAGAUAAUACAACUGAGAACAUGGUUCUUCUUAGAAAAAGAUCAUGUUGCCUUUACUCUCAUACAUAGGAGAGGUAACAGGAAAGAAACUUACAAUAACAGCAUAUACUUUAACAAGUAAAUGCUCAGGUGUGACAAUAUUAUAAGUGGAAAAGGCCCUAUAAAUGUCUAAAAUGUUCUCUAGGGGGCAGGAUUGUCCCCACGGAAAGGCGCAAUGCCAGCAGCUUCUGAUUCUUAGGAAUCCUCUCCUGCUUCCUAGAACUUUUAUCAGUCUUAGCUCUGCCCGCUGGUACGCGCAGAUCACAUUCAGCUUCGCCUUUAUGGGACAAGUUGAAAAAAUGUAAAAAGAAUUUCUAUCUCUCCCCUCACCCUACACCCUUCUCAUGCCUAGAUUUUGUCUUCUCUGGCCAAGCAUUUUCACAGUUCCUUCAAUUAUUCCUGACAGAAUUCACCCCUGCUCCCUCUACCAAUGAAGGUUGCCUCCAUCAUUCUCAGUCUCGUAUGUCUGGGACCCUACCUGGUUCUGAAUCCAUCCUGCAUAGCAGGACGUAUCUGAGUUGCCCUGCCUUUCCCCUCUUCACCCCCAACCGGGAGCAUUUGAAGUUUCCCGUGUAGAGGGACUUGAACCGCUGUGUGCCAUGUGGCAGCCAAGGCCAUCUUGAUGUCACAGUGACUUAGGUAAUGAGACCUGUCAUGAGUGCUAGGCUGCUCCCCAGGCAUUGUAUACACUGGAGCGUCUGAAUGGCCAGAUUUGACUGCACUGGACCUGUAACAGAAGCUGUAGACCUAAUAUCUGUACUGGUGCAGUGAACUGCGGCUGCAUCUCAGUUGCUGGGUUCACUCGGCAGCUGCUUUGUGUGUGCAUCACCUUCUCAGUGUUGGUGCUGUUGGCACUUAAGUCACCAGUUUAUCCAGUGCCCUGAUUUGGGAUGAGACCUUUAGAGGAGGCACAGGAAGCUGAUGAAUCCCUGUAUUUGGUGCUUUUGUCCUUAUGGGCUACUUCUAGCUCACUUCAUAUCUACUGCAAUGUGAAACUUGGCAUUGUCUUUAUUUUUUUGUUGUUUUUAUUUUUGUCUUUUUUAGGGCUACACCCAAAGCAGGUGGAAGUUCCCAGGCUAGGAGUCAAAUCGGAGCUGUAGCUUCUGGCCUACACCGUAGCCACAACAACAUCAGAUCUGAGCUGCAGCUGUGACCUAACCACAGCCCAUGGCAAUGCCUGAUUCUUAACCCACUGAGCUAGGCCAGGGAUCAAACCCGAGUCCUUAUGGAAGCUAGUCGGAUUCAUUACCACUGAGUCAUGACAGGAGCUCCCUUGGUAUUGUCUUUAAAUCUACAAAACAUUGAAACCAUUUACAUUAAGAACUUAUGAAUUAGUGGGUUUUUAAAAAAAAUUUCAGAGUAUCAAUAGGAGUCACCACAUUGCAUAGUAUGUUGACUUUCAUCAUCUCACUUAUUUCUCUUACAUCCUCCUCACUCCUUCCUCCUGAUUGCCUGUGAAACUUCAAAAAUUCAUUCCUCUUUGAUACAGAAUAAUCUCCAAUUCUCAUUAACUUUAGUUCUAGCCAACAUAUAGGACCUAACCAGGCGUAUUAGUCCAUUCAUGCUGCUAUAACAAAAUGCCAUUGAUUGGAUGGCAUGUAAACAACAGAUAUUUUUUCUCACAAUUUAAAAGGCUGGGAAGGCCAAGAUUAGCUUCUCGGUUCACAGAGAGCCAUCUUUUUGCUAUAACUGCCCAUGGUGGAAGGGGUGAGAGAUCUCCCUGGAGUCUCUUUUAUAAGGACACUACUCCCAUUCAUGAGGGCACCACCCUCGGGACCUAGUCACCUCUCAAAGGCACCACCUCCAAAUAUCAUAGUGUUGAGGGAAUAGGUUGGAAUAUAUGAAUGAGGUGGGGACAUAAACAUUCAGUCCAUUGCACCAGGGGAGGGGGUAAAGUGGGGAGACAAGAGAGAGACUCACUAAGCACCCCAGUCUUUGUCAAAAUUAUUUUUCAAACCAAGUUCUUUCCCUUGGUUUCUCAUGCCUGCUGUGAAAACUAUAACACAUUUUUUUGCGCCCUGUGCAUUUGGAUGCUUUAUUCCAUCCACCCAUGUGGAAAAGUUACACAUUUAUGAUUUAUUUGUGUAUUCCUUCUGCAUCUGUUUAUUGAGUGCCCUCCCUGUGACAGGGAAUGGGCUAAGCCCUGGGGUACUCAGGCCUUACCUCAAGGAAUUGGUGUUUUGGUAACAGGAGGGAAGGCAAACACAUAAGUCAACCUUGUGUGCUUUGAUAGCAGUGUUGUUGGAUGUUAUGGAGCCACAAAAAAGCACUAUGUGAUUUGGCCUUCAGAGGCCAGAGAGGCCCGCGUGGACUGAAUGAUGGCUGAGUCUUGAAAGAUGAGGAGGGGUUAGCCUGGUGAAGGAGGAGGGGAAGGGAGUUCCAAAUAGAUUGUGGAGCAUGUGCCAAUGGAUAGGUGAGCACAUGACAAAGAACAUGAGUCCUAGCCAUGUGAGAGUGGCUUGCUUGGGACCAGGGCAAAGGCUCUUCCCGAGAAUGCUGAGUGUCCCUAACUGGUCUUUGGUUCUACUCUGCAAGUAAAGGCCCAUGCAAUCUGCUUAUGGCAUUUGUUCAGCAAAGACUUUACCCUUGGUAUCAAGAAUUUUUUUUUCUCAUUUCCCCAUUGAAUUGAUUUUCUCCCCCUUCCUGUUGUCUUGGCAGCACUUAAGGAAAUGAAGAUCUUUGGAGAGGCUCUGCUGAGAUCCCAUCUCUGGGAACUGGUAACAGUUAGGAUUCUGGACUCUGGCUGUGCUCAGGGUGGAGGACCUUGGAGUUGAGUAGAUGUAGGUUCAUGUCCUAGUUCUGCCUGCCCUCAGGCAAAGUUUUUGACCCCUUUGAGGCUGAGUUUCCUUAUCUGUAAAAUGGGAAUAGAAUAAUACCUACGUUACCAAGGUGUGGUGAUGUGAGGUACUGCCCCAUGUAGCAAAAGCAUAACACAAAUGGCAGCUUUUGUCUUAAUCUUCAUUAAAAAACAAAAAAUCCCACUCACUGAAUAGGGAAAUUGUGGCUGUGGAACCCUGGGCCUAUGUGGAAAAAGACGGUUGAGAACUAAGUGCAUGAAAGACAGAAGCAAGGAAGUCCUCUGGUCUCACUGCCUCUCUUUGUCACCAAAAGAGGAAAAUAAAGAAGCUAUUAUGGAGUUCCUAUUGUGGCUCGGUGGUAGCAAACCCAACUAGUAUCCAUGAGGACGGGGGUUUGAUCUCUGGCCUCGCUCAGUGGGUUGAGGACCUGUCAUUGCCCUGAGCUUUGG